AUGUGGAUCAUUAAAAAGAGUGAAGCAGUGGUGGCAUGGGGCUUGGUGUUGAAUACACAGGGGGAGUGAAGGAGAGAGGAGGGAGAGGCCGGAGUCGCCAUUUCUGCCACCCCUUGACUGGCUGGAAUUACCACGGCCUACUGCUGUCGUUGGACGUGAUCAUCGAUGCUAGCGGUGAGCUGUCGGACAGCGUUGCAGAGGGAAAGAUGAGAAUUUCUCUCUCCUCCGAUCCUCUCUCUAACCCGA
Molecule: unclassified non-coding RNA, 246 nt
Filed under: Hevea brasiliensis (rubber tree)
Lineage: Eukaryota; Viridiplantae; Streptophyta; Magnoliopsida; Malpighiales; Euphorbiaceae
Source: RNAcentral